This is a long non-coding RNA of Astatotilapia calliptera (eastern happy), 1041 nucleotides long. The record is from Ensembl. Lineage: Eukaryota; Metazoa; Chordata; Actinopteri; Cichliformes; Cichlidae.
CACUGACUCAGUGUCUCAGAUCGGACUUCUUUCAUGAAUUUUUACAGCCUCCUGCAGAGUAAAUAGAUAGGGAUACAUAGUGAGGCAGAAAUAAACAGCGGACUAACAGCCUACAUUCGCUACAGAUGAACGGAUACUAGAGUUGUUUGUCUUACAGUGUCCACCAUAGCAAGAAUUAUACCCUUGAAUGGGAUGGAUUAAAAAACAUAAUUCUGCAAAUUUGACCGCAAUCGGCAAUCUACUGACAUCUAGUGGUGAGCUUUUAUAAAGUGUAACUUUAAAGCAGACUACGUUAACUUUAAUUCAGAAAAUGAAUUAAUUAAUGCAUUUCUUAAGUUAUAUACACUACACAAGUUUGACUGUGAUGCACAGCAUGCCUGUGUGAAUGCGUGCUUGCAUAUGGUGUAUAUAUGUGGGUGGCUCUGCAUGUGUCAUUAGUGUGUUUUAGUAUACCACCGAAUGCCAUUUUUUGUGUGUCGCUGUCUGUAGGAUCUGAUUGACCUCACAUCCCUGUCAACAAAAUGUAGAGCCAGGCCUGCGAGUUCCAUAAAAAAAGAAAGAAAAAAAAAAACUUUACUCACUUCUUUGUAUCAAAGGCAGCUGCGUUGCAGACAACAAAUUGGCUCUUCAUGUCUCCCUCUCCAAAUGCUAAGGUUAGGCUUUAAUUGUGGCACCUGGGUCGGAAAGCAGCAGAGUUAUAGACAAAAUAGCGAUGCUCAUGUCAGUGGACGUGUUGUGAAUAGUUCACAUAAUACCAGUGUAUACACAGUGGACACGGAGCCAGCCACCUUUGCUCCUCUCCCCUGUUCUCGCUGAAUAAGAAUCUGACAUAAAUUCUGCACAUAUAAAAUUAGUAAAUGCCACUGUAGCCGUAGUUAAAUAUCACACAAACCCCCGGGGAGGGGGGCAGGGGGAGGCGCCGACAAGUUACCUUGGCCUAUUUUUUUGUGGCGAAGACAGGGGGAGGGGAAGGGCCUUUGACUAGCAAAAGAGAUGGUGGGAGGUUAGAGAGAAGGAACGGGGAGAAGGGAAAGGAAAAAG